CUGAAGGACAUGAGACUGCAGACGAAGCAGGAGUAGGUCUGGGUUCAUCUGGGGCAUCCCUAAAACCCUGGAGCUGUGUGAGAUCACAAAUAUAUAUAGAGAGAAAUAGUGCACAUUCUCUGCCUCUCUGACCUUGUCGGCUCGGUUUAAAAAGCAAGAGGGUCUGCGGCAAUUCAAAUGCAGGGAGGCUGAACUGUACAGCCAGCGGGAAGACCUUCAACUUUAUGGCAAGAGACGAGAAAGCAUGAUGGAGAUGCUCUCUGUGCAUCUCUACUGCCUGCUGCUACAGAGUAAUAGACUGGCAGUUGGAUGAGCUGCUGGGCAAGGCCAUUUAGGAGACGAGUCCUCUGAGAAAGAUCCUCAAAGUCAUGCCGGAAUGGGAAGGCGAUGCUGUCAAUCACUACCAACCUCACCUGUGAUUGGAUGAUACAACAUGAUGCUCAGAAAGGAAGUCAGGUAGGAGGUAAACCUCAGCUAACAGCUCUACAUAGUCAUGGCAACGGACCAAGAAGAGACUUGAGAGGAUCUUCUCGACAGUAAGUUCCUCUAAAGCCUGUCUCUGUUCUAAGAGGAA
This is a long non-coding RNA of Carassius auratus (goldfish), 574 nucleotides long. RefSeq lists it as uncharacterized. The record is from RefSeq and is a predicted model, not a curated record. NCBI's taxonomy places the organism in Eukaryota, Metazoa, Chordata, Actinopteri, Cypriniformes, Cyprinidae. The transcript is spliced from 4 exons.